AUAUAUGUAUAUAUAUAAACUAGGCCAAAAGUUUGGGUACACCAGUUGAAAUUUCUCGCCGCACUAAAAGUUGGAUAGCGGACUUAAGAA
Long non-coding RNA from Diprion similis, 90 nucleotides. RefSeq lists it as uncharacterized. The record is from RefSeq and is a predicted model, not a curated record. Lineage: Eukaryota; Metazoa; Arthropoda; Insecta; Hymenoptera; Diprionidae. The transcript is spliced from 3 exons.